RNAcentral lists this ribosomal RNA (428 nucleotides) under uncultured prokaryote. RNAcentral describes it as "bacterial SSU rRNA". It matches the Rfam family "Bacterial small subunit ribosomal RNA", at positions 355 to 774 of the family's 1533-position model. The record is from RNAcentral.
UGGGGAAUUUUGCGCAAUGGCCGCAAGGCUGACGCAGCAACGCCGCGUGGGUGAAGAAGGCCUUCGGGUCGUAAAGCCCUGUCAGGUGGGAAGAACGAUUCGGGGAGUAAUACGCCCCGGAUGUGACGGUACCACCAGAGGAAGCACCGGCUAACUCCGUGCCAGCAGCCGCGGUAAUACGGAGGGUGCAAGCGUUAUUCGGAAUUACUGGGCGUAAAGCGCGUGCAGGCGGGCGAGCAAGUCUGAUGUGAAAGCCCCGGGCUUAACCUGGGAAGGGCAUUGGAAACUGCUCGUCUUGAGUUCUGGAGAGGAAGGGGGAAUUCCCGGUGUAGAGGUGAAAUUCGUAGAGAUCGGGAGGAAUACCAGUGGCGAAGGCGCCCUUCUGGACGGCAACUGACGCUGAGACGCGAAAGCGUGGGGAGCAAACA